UUAGACUGGGUCCGUCUUCAUCAUUCAGUCAGAAGGUGCAAAAUGAAGCUAGGUCAUUGUGAGCCUCCAACAAUCUGAACGCCGCCGUAUCCAAUCGCGAUUACUCUCAAUGAGACCUGAGGCGGACGAACAGAAGCCUUUCCGCAAGGGAGUCGACAUAGCAUCUAGAAUGUCAUCGUCGCUCUAAUGAUAUCGACUCAACGUUUCAACCAUUAUCCUGAUCCGUAAAGAAAUGGAUUGGAAACAAAGAGAUCGCAACACACAACAAACCAGAACAAAUGGCAGAUUUACGUUCCAAUCAUGGGUUCUAUUGCGUUAACAACAUCGUUAUUCGUCAUACGUCAUGGCUCAGCUUCGGUCAGUGUUUGCAGCAUUUUCAUUCUUUGUUUGUGAAUUCGCCUCGGAGCUUGUCCGUGUCGACGCUUGGGAACGGGUCGAGAGCUAUGAGUACCACGCAGUGAUUUGAAGAAUAGUUUCGCUUGCGGUCUGGAUGAGCAAUCAAGAUUGUUGUGGUGGCUUCGCAGAAAUUCAAUCGAGCAUCGUGCUCUUGGCAUUCGCGAUCAAGGUGUCGCAUUCUGCCCUUCUCAACGAGUUCUGAAUGGCCACUCCAACCUCGUUAGCGCCCCAAACAUCACGUCGGCGUCGCCUUCAGGGAUUACGUCUUAUUCAGGCUCUUGGCAAUCGUUCAACGGUGUUUUUGGGGAUUUGAUAUUCAGGCUUCGAGCUCCACAGCUUAGAAGAAAAGUCUUAUUAAGUGACCAAUGAUCUUUUGGUCACUCAAAUUAGACAAUAGGAUUAUACAAGUUCAUAGGAUCUAAUUGAUCAAAAUUGUUUUUGAUCAACUUCAUCAUGUGUUAAGAUUGGUUAAAAACUAGGUUAGGACUACGUCAACGGUGCUUUUGGGGAUUACGUCUUUGCAAUCGUUCAACGGUGUUUUUGGGGAUUCGAUAUUCAUGGCGUACUACUCGACUCAGUGAUUCACGCAACGACUAUUGAAAGCACGAAAUUGGAUGAACACAUAUUGAGGCAAGAAUGAAGACUCACCCGUUUCGGCACGGCGACGAAAACAGGAAUAUGCUUUUAGGAAGGAGUUAUGCAGGAUUUUGGUUAUGGUUGCUGCUGUUUGUGCAUUCGGCAGGCCAUGAAUGAACUGUCUAUACCGACCUGCUUAUCACUGUCUUUCCAGAUGCAACUUGGAGCACAAUAACGUCGAAUGCGUAUAUGUCACUCUUCUCGGUAAAGCGCCCAGUGGUAAUGUAUUUAGGAGCUAGGUAUCCCAUGGCGGUACUCACUUUUAGAGCUGAGAAAACAACACCUCCUGCAAGAAGUUUAGGAAAUCCAUUAAUGGAUUAAACUCUUUGUCAAGGAGAACAUUCUCCACUAGAACAUUCCAACAACCAUUCGCAUUAAAAGUUAUGCAGGCCCUUCUGUCGUGUGAGUGUUAACAAGGCUUCGUGGGAUUGAAGUGAAACUGGGCUGAUGUUUAUGGAAGUGAUAUUUGAUAUGAAAAGUCUGAAUUGGUGUGGAUUCGUUAGAUUAACAUAAGAUUUAAAAUGUAUUUGGAAUGUGGAAUUGUAUUGUAGCAUGUAUGAAUAUGUGCUAAUUUGUUUGUACUUGAAAGAGUAUUCAAUAAAAAGUUAAAUUCAAAUUGAA
Lathyrus oleraceus (garden pea) is the source of this 1653-nucleotide long non-coding RNA. RefSeq lists it as uncharacterized. Lineage: Eukaryota; Viridiplantae; Streptophyta; Magnoliopsida; Fabales; Fabaceae. The record is from RefSeq and is a predicted model, not a curated record. The transcript is spliced from 4 exons.